Molecule: ribosomal RNA, 491 nt
Filed under: uncultured bacterium
Lineage: Bacteria
Description: partial 16S ribosomal RNA
Rfam family: Bacterial small subunit ribosomal RNA
Source: RNAcentral
GUGAACGCUGGCGGUAGGCCUAACACAUGCAAGUCGAACGGCAGCACAGUAAGCGCUUGCUCUUACGGGUGGCGAGUGGCGGACGGGUGAGGAAUACAUCGGAAUCUACUUUUUCGUGGGGGAUAACGUAGGGAAACUUACGCUAAUACCGCAUACGACCUACGGGUGAAAGCAGGGGAUCUUCGGACCUUGCGCGAUUGAAUGAGCCGAUGUCGGAUUAGCUAGUUGGCGGGGUAAAGGCCCACCAAGGCGACGACCCGUAGCUGGUCUGAGAGGAUGAUCGGCCACACUGGAACUGAGACACGGUCCAGACUCCUACGGGAGGCAGCAGUGGGGAAUAUUGGACAAUGGGCGCAAGCCUGAUCCAGCCAUACCGCGUGGGUGAAGAAGGCCUUCGGGUUGUAAAGCCCUUUUGUUGGGAAAGAAAAGCAGCAGGUUAAUACCCCGCUGUUCUGACGGUACCCAAAGAAUAAGCACCGGCUAACUUCGUG